RNAcentral lists this long non-coding RNA (593 nucleotides) under Hordeum vulgare. Its description in RNAcentral is "long non-coding RNA (HVUL_LNC001520)". Lineage: Eukaryota; Viridiplantae; Streptophyta; Magnoliopsida; Poales; Poaceae. The record is from RNAcentral.
AGGCAGCAUAUAUCAAACUUCAGAGUCUAUCCAGCUAUCUGGUUCUACGCUCUCGAGUGGUAUGUUAAUGUCAGGUAUAACGGUUGCUUCUGCUUCGCGCGAGUCUAUGUCCAUGCGUCCCAGCUCAGGCACAGACGGUUGGGGGGUACUGGCUCCAGAACAGGUGUCCUCCGACCGACAGUGCGGUUCAUCUAAACUUCUGGGGCUUGCUUCUGUGUUGUCCUGGUGGGAUGAAACUGGCAGUCCUGCUUCACGCUCAUCUCGUUUCAUCUCAGGCUGAUCAGGAGCAGGCAAUUCGAGUAGUAUGUUAAUGUCAGGUAUAACGGUUGCUUCUGCUUCGCAUGAGUCUAUAUCCAUGUGUCCCAGCUCAGGAACUGGCGGUUGGUGGGUAGCAGCUCCAGAACAGGUGUCCUCUGACCGACAAUGAGCUUCAUCUAAACUUUCAGGGCUUGCUUCUGUGUUGUCCUGGCGGGAUGAAACUGGCGGUUCUGCUUCACACUCAUCUCGUUUUAUCUCAGGCUGAUCAGGAGCAGGCAAUUCGUGGGGAGCGGCUCCAGCACUGGCAUCCUGCGGCUUACCAUACGGUUGAUCUG